Molecule: small RNA, 205 nt
Filed under: Sus scrofa (pig)
Lineage: Eukaryota; Metazoa; Chordata; Mammalia; Artiodactyla; Suidae
Description: Disrupted in schizophrenia 2 conserved region (ENSSSCG00070016183.1)
Source: RNAcentral
AACAUAGAGCGAUUAUCUCCAAGGGUUGUGGUGAGAUUGUCCCAGAGGUUUGUAGCCGUUAUCGAGUGUGGUCAUAAUGCACUCUUAGAAAAUAUAAUGGAGCCUUCUAAUAACAAUAGCAGUUAUUUAUGGAGCCCUCAUUAAUGUGACCUAGUUAUGCAUUAUGGUAUAAUUUUCAUACUUAAUUUUUCCCUGAUAUAUUUUU